AUACGGAGGGUGCAAGCGUUGUUCGGAAUUACUGGGCGUAAAGCGCGUGUAGGCGGUCGGGCAAGUCGAAUGUGAAAUCCCCGGGCUCAACCCGGGAAUUGCAUCCGAAACUGCUCGGCUAGAGUCCCGGAGAGGAAGGCAGAAUUCCCAGUGUAGGGGUGAAAUCCGUAGAUAUUGGGAGGAAUACCAGUGGCGAAGGCGGCCUUCUGGACGGUGACUGACGCUGAGACGCGAAAGCGUGGGGAGCAAACAGAAUUAGAAACCCCGGUAGUCC
This 274-nucleotide ribosomal RNA is filed under the name uncultured bacterium. Its description in RNAcentral is "partial 16S ribosomal RNA". It matches the Rfam family "Bacterial small subunit ribosomal RNA", at positions 523 to 796 of the family's 1533-position model. The record is from RNAcentral.